This 800-nucleotide ribosomal RNA is filed under the name Arsenicicoccus sp. JSM 2215068. RNAcentral describes it as "bacterial SSU rRNA". It matches the Rfam family "Bacterial small subunit ribosomal RNA", at positions 39 to 847 of the family's 1533-position model. Lineage: Bacteria; Bacillati; Actinomycetota; Actinomycetes; Micrococcales; Intrasporangiaceae. The record is from RNAcentral.
GCGGUGCGGCGUGCUACCAUGCAGUCGAACGAUGAUGCCCAGCUUGCUGGGUGGAUUAGUGGCGAACGGGUGAGUAACACGUGAGUAACCUGCCCUUCACUCUGGGAUAACUCCGGGAAACCGGGGCUAAUACUGGAUAUGACUCCUCCUCGCAUGGGGUGGGAGUGGAAAGCUUUUGUGGUGGAGGAUGGGCUCGCGGCCUAUCAGCUUGUUGGUGAGGUAGUGGCUCACCAAGGCGACGACGGGUAGCCGGCCUGAGAGGGCGACCGGCCACACUGGGACUGAGACACGGCCCAGACUCCUACGGGAGGCAGCAGUGGGGAAUAUUGCACAAUGGGCGAAAGCCUGAUGCAGCGACGCCGCGUGAGGGAUGAAGGCCUUCGGGUUGUAAACCUCUUUCAGCUCUGAAGAAGCGAAAGUGACGGUAGGAGCAGAAGAAGCACCGGCUAACUACGUGCCAGCAGCCGCGGUAAUACGUAGGGUGCGAGCGUUGUCCGGAAUUAUUGGGCGUAAAGAGCUUGUAGGUGGUUUGUCGCGUCUGCGGUGAAAUCCCAACGCUUAACGUUGGGCUUGCCGUGGGUACGGGCAGACUAGAGUGUGGUAGGGGAGACUGGAAUUCCUGGUGUAGCGGUGAAAUGCGCAGAUAUCAGGAGGAACACCGAUGGCGAAGGCAGGUCUCUGGGCCAUAACUGACACUGAGAAGCGAAAGCAUGGGGAGCGAACAGGAUUAGAUACCCUGGUAGUCCAUGCCGUAAACGUUGGGCGCUAGGUGUGGGGGCUCAUUCCACGAGUUCCGUGCC